GGGCUGCAGCUACCCAUACUUGGAGAGAGGAAGGGUUGUCAUGGUAACCUUCCUCAUUGGCCCCUUCACUUCUUCCGCCUCCUUCUUUUUAUCCCACCAUCCCCACCUCCCCACAUCUUCUAUUUCUCUUUCGCUCCACACAGGAAAACAAAACCGUAUUAGCCUCCCACACAAAGAGGCUGGACACCUCUGCAGAUGAACAUUGAAGUGAAGUGGACAUUGCUGGGACAGUGGCUGCAUUAUCAUUGACACUGCAACUCUGACAGCCAAGACAGCAAACCAACCCGUCAGCCAUGACAGCGGCCCCAUACCUUACCUCCAGCGACCCUCUGUCAGCUGCCAUGACUUCUAAUCGCGUCUUGACCCUGGUCAUGCCCGUGAUCCCGACCCCUUACCCCUGGAUGGAGGAGGAGCACAUCCAGGUACACACCAUCCUGAUUGUCAUCAUCUUCUGCGUGGUCUGCUUCCUGCUCCUGGUGGCCUUCUUCUACGCUUUCUGCAUCCGCUGCACACUGAAGCCGUCCCCCAAAGACUCCCGGCCUGCCCACAGCUGUAGUCUGGAGCGUGAGGAUGCCAGCUUCUGCCGCAGCUCCUCCGAUUGCCAGUCGGUUGGGAACGUGGUCUGAAUGGAGAAGAGUACAUGAGAGAACUAGAGAGGAAGGCUGAGAGGAGAGGAAGUCAAAGAGGAGAGGAAGUCUGAGAAGAGAGGAGGACUGAGAGGAGAGGAAGGCUGAGAGGAGAGGAAGGCUGAGAAGAGAGGAAGGCUGAGAGGAGAGGAAGUCUGAGAAGAGAGGAAGUCUGAGAGAGGAGAGGAAGGCUGAGAGGAGUUUGAUAGCUUCUAUAUUAAUACAUUUCUGAGAUUAUGCGACCCACCGUGCAACAGUGUUCAGGAAGUAGGAAUGAUCUGUUGGGGUGUGUCAAAUAGGAGCAGUAGAAUGUUACUCUACUGUGCAUAACAGGACUCCCUGACAUAAAUAAAUGAAUGGAUAUACCAUACAACUUUUAUUGCCAUUUUCUGUGAAUCUGUCUGUGAUGUGUUCUGUCUUCUAUAUGUCACUGUUUCAUGAAUAAUAUACUGUUCCUGUUUAUUGACUCGUCUGUUUUUCACACUGCUGUGUGUUAUGUGCAUUCCCAUUCCAUGCAUUAUGACACUUUGUCCACUAAAGCACUGUCGUGUCUUUGGCAUCAUUAAACUGAAGACAUAUUUAUCAAAUAA
RNAcentral lists this long non-coding RNA (1216 nucleotides) under Salmo salar (Atlantic salmon). RNAcentral's name for it is "lncRNA (ENSSSAG00000091730.1, ENSSSAG00000110497.1)". Lineage: Eukaryota; Metazoa; Chordata; Actinopteri; Salmoniformes; Salmonidae. The record is from RNAcentral.